RNAcentral lists this ribosomal RNA (2214 nucleotides) under Sphingomonas palmae. Its description in RNAcentral is "Bacterial large subunit ribosomal RNA". It matches the Rfam family "Bacterial large subunit ribosomal RNA", at positions 1 to 2326 of the family's 2925-position model. Lineage: Bacteria; Pseudomonadati; Pseudomonadota; Alphaproteobacteria; Sphingomonadales; Sphingomonadaceae. The record is from Rfam by way of RNAcentral.
CAAGCGUGAGGUAAGGGCAAUUCGUGGAUGCCUUGGCGCAUACAGGCGAUGAAGGACGUGGCACGCUGCGAUAAGCUGCGGUGAGGUGUGAGCAACCUUUGACCCGCAGAUUUCCGAAUGGGGAAACCCACUCAUCCUGAUUAUCUGAACGGUUCAGGCAACUGGGCGGUCAGGUAAUUGGGGUUUUGAGUAUCUUGGACCUGAAUACAUAGGGUUCAAGAAGCGAACCCGGCGAACUGAAACAUCUCAGUAGCUGGAGGAAAAGACAUCAACCGAGAUUCCGUUAGUAGUGGCGAGCGAACGCGGACCAGGCCAGUGCCUUCAAUUCAAGUAGCAGAACACUCUGGAAAGUGUGGCCAUAGCGGGUGACAGCCCCGUAUGCGAAACUGAUGUUGAAGGACUCGAGUAGGGCGGAACACGUGUAAUUCUGUCUGAACAUGGGGGGACCACCCUCCAAGCCUAAAUACUCGUAUGCGACCGAUAGUGAACUAGUACCGUGAGGGAAAGGUGAAAAGCACCCCGAUGAGGGGAGUGAAACAGUACCUGAAACGGAUUGCCUACAAGCAGUAGGAGGGUCUUUAUGGCCUGACUGCGUACCUCUUGCAUAAUGGGUCUGUGACUUAAUGUAUCGAGCAAGCUUAAGCCGUUAGGUGUAGGCGCAGCGAAAGCGAGUCUGAAUAGGGCGCACAUAGUUCGAUGUAUUAGACCCGAAACCCGGCGAUCUAGGCAUGACCAGGAUGAAGGUGUGGUAACACACACUGGAGGUCCGAACCGAUUAACGUUGAAAAGUUACCGGAUGAGUUGUGUUUAGGGGUGAAAGGCCAAUCAAGCCGGGAAAUAGCUGGUUCUCCGCGAAAACUAUUGAGGUAGUGCCUCGAGCGGACACCAUAGGGGGUAGAGCACUGGAUGGGUGCGGGGGUCGCGAGAUCUACCAAACCUAACCAAACUCCGAAUACCUAUGAGUGAUACUCGGGAGACAGACGGCGGGUGCUAAGGUCCGUCGUCAAAAGGGAAACAGCCCUGACCAACAGCUAAGGUCCCCAAGUCACGUCUAAGUGGGAAAGCAUGUGGGAAUCCCAAAACAACCAGGAGGUUGGCUUAGAAGCAGCCAUCCUUUAAAGAAAGCGUAACAGCUCACUGGUCUAAACAAGGGUUCCUGCGGCGAAGAUGUAACGGGGCUCAAGACGUGCACCGAAGCUUUGGGUGUGAACAUUGUUCACGCGGUAGCGGAGCGUUCCGUAGGCCUGCGAAGCCAUCUGGUAAUGGGUGGUGGAGGUAUCGGAAGUGCGAAUGCAGACAUGAGUAGCGAUAAAGAGGGUGAGAUGCCCUCUCGCCGAAAGACCAAGGGUUCCUGCGCAAGGCUAAUCCGCGCAGGGUGAGCCGGCCCCUAAGACGAGCCCGAAGGGGGUAGUCGAUGGGAAUCAGGUUAAUAUUCCUGAGCCUGGUGGUGUGUGACGGAUGGUGUGUGUUGUUCGCCCUUAUCGGAUUGGGCGGGCUUCGAAACUGUCCCGGGAAAUAGCCCCACCGUAUAGACCGUACCCGAAACCGACACAGGUGGUCAGGUAGAGUAUACCAAGGCGCUUGAGAGAAGUGUCCUGAAGGAACUCGGCAAAUUGCCUCCGUACCUUCGGAAGAAGGAGGCCCAGCAUAAGCGCAAGCUCUUGCUGGGGGCACAGGCCAGGGGGUAGCGACUGUUUAGCAAAAACACAGGGCUCUGCUAAGUCGGCUUCAAGACGACGUAUAGGGCCUGACGCCUGCCCGGUGCCUGAAGGUUAAGUGGAGGGGUGCAAGCUCUGAAAUGAAGCCCAGGUAAACGGCGGCCGUAACUAUAACGGUCCUAAGGUAGCGAAAUUCCUUGUCGGGUAAGUUCCGACCUGCACGAAUGGCGUAACGACUUCCCCACUGUCUCCAGGACAUGCUCAGCGAAAUUGAAUUCUCCGUGAAGAUGCGGAGUACCCGCGGUUAGACGGAAAGACCCCGUGCACCUUUACUGCAGCUUCAGAGUGGCAGUGGACAAGAACUGUGUAGCAUAGGUGGGAGGCUUUGAAGCAUUGGCGCCAGCCGGUGUGGAGCCAUAGGUGAAAUACCACCCUGUUGUUGUUUACUGUCUAACCUCGAUCCAUGAAACUGGAUCAGGGACCCUCUGUGGCGGGUAGUUUGACUGGGGCGGUCGCCUCCUAAAGAGUAACGGAGGCGCGCGAAGGUUGGCUCAGG